UGUCGCGCGGUAAAACCAGCACCUCGAGUGGUCAGGAGGUUUAUAGCAUCCGUAGCCGGUUGCAUAAGUUUUCGGUUAAAUCUAUGUAUAGGCCGCCGAAAAUACUGUGCAGCUAGGGAGUGGGAGGUACUCGAUAGGAAGGGGUAAAAUCCUUUGAUCUAUUGAUGGGCGAAGGCGGUGUACCAGAACACGUUCGACGGUGAGGGAUGGGAGCAAACCGGAUUAGAUACCCGGGUAGUCCCAGCUGUAGACUCGGUGAUGCAUUGGCUUGUGGCCAAUGCAGUGCCGCAUUAAGUCUGCCGCCUGGGAAGUACGUACGCAAGUAUGAAACUUGGCGGGGGAGCACCACAAGGGGUGAAGCCUGCGGUUCAAACGCCAGAAAUCUUACCUGGGGCGACAGCAGAAUGAAGGUCACUUUACCAGACAAGCUGAGAGGUGGUGCAUGGCCGUCGCCCGUGAGAUGUCCUGUUAAGUCAGGUAACGAGCGAGACCCCUUGCUACCAUUACUCUCUGGAGUAGUGGAGCGAAUUAGACGGGUUAAUGUGGAGGAAGGAAGGGGCCACGGCAGGUCAGUAUGCCUAGGGCUACACGCGGGCUGCAAUGGUAUUGACAAUGUGUGAAAGGAGGAGGCAAUCAUUAAACGAUACCUCAGUUAUGACUAACUCGCCCUCACGAAUAUGGAAUCCCUAGUAACCGCGCGCGCGGUGAAUACGUCCGUGCUCCUUGCACACACCGCCCGUCACC
RNAcentral lists this ribosomal RNA (744 nucleotides) under uncultured bacterium. RNAcentral describes it as "bacterial SSU rRNA". It matches the Rfam family "Archaeal small subunit ribosomal RNA", at positions 460 to 1357 of the family's 1478-position model. The record is from RNAcentral.